This 1245-nucleotide ribosomal RNA is filed under the name metagenome. RNAcentral describes it as "bacterial LSU rRNA". It matches the Rfam family "Bacterial large subunit ribosomal RNA", at positions 1564 to 2818 of the family's 2925-position model. The record is from RNAcentral.
UGAGUACGAGAUGCUACGGCAUCGAAGCAGUCUAUGUCAUACUUCCAAGAAAAGCUUGCACUGUCAGAAACAGAUAAUGCCUGUACCAUAACCGACACAGGUGGGUAGGUAGAGUAUACUAAGGGGCGCGAGAUAACUCUCUCUAAGGAACUCGGCAAAAUGACUCCGUAACUUCGGGAGAAGGAGUGCCUUAUUUUUAAGGUUGCAAUAACAAGAUCCAAGCAACUGUUUACCAAAAACACAGGUCUCCGCUAAGUCGUAAGACGAUGUAUGGGGGCUGACGCCUGCCCAGUGCCAGAAGGUUAAAGAAGUCGGUUAGCAUUCGCGAAGCUGGUAACUGAAGCCCUGGUGAACGGCGGCCGUAACGAUAACGGUCCUAAGGUAGCGAAAUUCCUUGUCGGGUAAGUUCCGACCCGCACGAAAGGCGUAAUGAUUUGGAUACUGUCUCGGAGAGGGGCUCGGUGAAAUAGACUUGUCUGUGAAGAUGCGGACUACCUGCACCUGGACAGAAAGACCCUAUGAAGCUUUACUGUAACUUGAAAUUGAAAUUGGACUUUAUUUGCGCAGUAUAGGUGGGAGGCGUUGAAAAUAUUCUUGCGGGAAUAUUGGAGCCAUCAGUGAGAUACCACUCUUGUAAUGUUAGAUUUCUAACUUUAUAUCAUUAUCUGGUUAAAGAACAGUUUCAGGCGGGCAGUUUGACUGGGGCGGUCGCCUCCCAAAUGGUAACGGAGGCGCACAAAGGUUUCCUCUGAACGGGUAGAAAUCGUAUCUAGAGUGUAAAGGCAUAAGGAAGCUUGACUGUGAGACCUACAAGUCGAGCAGGGACGAAAGUCGGUCUUAGUGAUCUGACGGUGCUGAGUGGAAAGGCCGUCACUCAACGGAUAAAAGUUACUCUAAGGAUAACAGGCUGAUCUCCCCCAAGAGUUCACAUCGACGGGGAGGUUUGGCACCUCGAUGUCGGCUCAUCGCAUCCUGGGGCGGUAGUACGUCCCAAGGGUUGGGCUGUUCGCCCAUGAAAGCGGUACGCGAGCUGGGUUCAGAACGUCGUGAGACAGUUCGGUCCAUAUCCGGUGUAGGCGUUAGAAUAUUGAGAGGAGCCUUCUUUAGUACGAGAGGACCGAGAAGGACAUACCUCUGGUGUACCAGUUAUCGUGCCAACGGUAAACGCUGGGUAGCUAUGUAUGGAGUGGAUAACCGCUGAAAGCAUCUAAGUGGGAAGCCCACCUCAAGAUAAGUAUUCUCAUC